UGGGGUUGUGGCUCAGUGGUAGAGUGCUCACCUAGCACAUGCAAGGAGCUGGGUUCAAUCCUCAGCACCACAA
RNAcentral lists this transfer RNA (73 nucleotides) under Marmota monax (woodchuck). RNAcentral describes it as "tRNA.Ala". Lineage: Eukaryota; Metazoa; Chordata; Mammalia; Rodentia; Sciuridae. The record is from RNAcentral.